GAUUCUCUGUUUUUCUCCAGUAGGGAAACCCGUAGGAGAACGGAUCAGUUUUUGCAGACAUCAAGCUAUGACAUAUAAAAAUCUUGAUAGUGAAACUUUUGAAUUAUACUGAUGAUAUUACUCAAGGAUUGUCCCAGAAAUGCUCUGAAUUCUCUGGAGUUUGCAUUUUUUUCCAAUGGAGGAACACUGAGGAGCGCUGAUGAGGUCUUACAUUUCUAAAACCAUGACCUGUGUAAGUUGAUGAUUCCUGUCUCCUUUCAAUAUUACAGUGUUAGUCUAUGUGGCUUUAUUCAUUAAUUAACCUAAACCUUCCUACUUAAGAGGGCUU
This is a long non-coding RNA of Lynx canadensis (Canada lynx), 328 nucleotides long. RefSeq lists it as uncharacterized. NCBI's taxonomy places the organism in Eukaryota, Metazoa, Chordata, Mammalia, Carnivora, Felidae. The transcript is spliced from 3 exons. The record is from RefSeq and is a predicted model, not a curated record.